RNAcentral lists this ribosomal RNA (463 nucleotides) under uncultured bacterium. RNAcentral describes it as "bacterial SSU rRNA". It matches the Rfam family "Bacterial small subunit ribosomal RNA", at positions 28 to 489 of the family's 1533-position model. The record is from RNAcentral.
GAUGAACGCUGGCGGCGUGCUUAACACAUGCAAGUCGAACGAAGCACUUUAUUUGAUUUCCUUCGGGACUGAUUAUUUUGUGACUGAGUGGCGGACGGGUGAGUAACGCGUGGGUAACCUGCCUCAUACAGGGGGAUAACAGCUGGAAACGGCUGCUAAUACCGCAUAAGCGCACAGCAUUGCAUGAUGCAGUGUGAAAAACUCCGGUGGUAUGAGGUGGACCCGCGUUGGAUUAGCUGGUUGGUGAGGUAACGGCCCACCAAGGCGACGAUCCAUAGCCGACUUGAGAGGGUGACCGGCCACAUUGGGACUGAGACACGGCCCAAACUCCUACGGGAGGCAGCAGUGGGGAAUAUUGCACAAUGGGCGAAAGCCUGAUGCAGCGACGCCGCGUGAGCGAAGAAGUAUUUCGGUAUGUAAAGCUCUAUCAGCAGGGAAGAUAAUGACGGUACCUGACUAAGAA